UUUUUUUUUAAUUUGUAUAUCUAUUGAUUUUUUUUUUUUUUAAGAUAUAACUUGGGAGUGUGUUUUUAUUUUUAUUUUUUACCAAAAUAAGCUAAGAGGUGAAUAUAACACACUAAAGUGCGAAUCUGUCAGAGUAUAAGUAUGUCAUAAAAAAUAAAAGUAUAUGUUAAAACAUAGAAGAAGAACAUGAAAUGGAUCUACAAAGUGGCCAAUAUAAUUGGGUACCUUUCGAAAAAGACAC
Molecule: long non-coding RNA, 241 nt
Filed under: Capsella grandiflora
Lineage: Eukaryota; Viridiplantae; Streptophyta; Magnoliopsida; Brassicales; Brassicaceae
Description: long non-coding RNA (CGRA_LNC001297)
Source: RNAcentral